UACGGAGGGUGCAAGCGUUAUCCGGAUUUACUGGGUUUAAAGGGUGCGUAGGUGGGUUGGUAAGUCAGUGGUGAAAUACUUUCGCUUAACGAAGGAACUGCCAUUGAUACUAUCAAUCUUGAAUACAGUGGAGGUGGGCGGAAUGCGUCAUGUAGUGGUGAAAUACUUAGAUAUGACGCAGAACACCUAUUGCGAAGGCAGCUCGCUACACUGUUAUUGACACUGAGGCACGAAAGCGUGGGGAUCAAACAGG
This 253-nucleotide ribosomal RNA is filed under the name uncultured bacterium. RNAcentral describes it as "partial 16S ribosomal RNA". It matches the Rfam family "Bacterial small subunit ribosomal RNA", at positions 524 to 776 of the family's 1533-position model. The record is from RNAcentral.